RNAcentral lists this ribosomal RNA (515 nucleotides) under uncultured Actinomyces sp. Its description in RNAcentral is "partial 16S ribosomal RNA". Lineage: Bacteria; Bacillati; Actinomycetota; Actinomycetes; Actinomycetales; Actinomycetaceae. The record is from RNAcentral.
UACGUAGUUAGCCGGCGCUUCUUAUCCAGCUACCGUCAACCCACCCACAAAAGGGGCAGGCCUGCUUCACUGGCGAAAGAGGUUCACAACCCGAAGGCCUCCAUCCCUCACGCGGCGUCGCUGCAUCAGGCUUGCGCCCAUUGUGCAAUAUUCCCCACUGCUGCCUCCCGUAGGAGUCUGGGCCGUGUCUCAGUCCCAGUGUGACCGUCCACCCUCUCAGGCCGGCUACCCGUCACCGCCUUGGUAGGCCAUCACCCCACCAACAAGCUGAUAGGCCGCGAGCCCAUCCCCCACCAAAAACACCCAAAGGCGCAAUCUUUCCCAGGCCUACCAUGCGACAGACCCCAGAAUAUCCCGUAUUAGCCACACUUUCAUGCGGUUAUCCAGAAGAAGGGGCAGGUUACUCACGUGUACUCACCCGUUCGCCACUCAUCCAGGACCCACCAAAGCAGGCCCCUUCACCGUUCGACUUGCAUGUGUUAAGCACGCCGCCAGCGUCGUACCUCGAGCCACGG